UGCCAGCAGCCGCGGUAAUACGAAGGGGGCUAGCGUUGUUCGGAAUUAUUGGGCGUAAAGAGCAUGUAGGCGGACUGUUAAGUCUGAUGUGAAAGCCCGGGGCUCAACCCCGGAAGUGCAAUGGAUACUGGCAGUCUUGAGUAUGGGAGAGGAAAGUGGAAUUCCGAGUGUAGGAGUGAAAUCCGUAGAUAUUCGGAGGAACACCAGUGGCGAAGGCGGCUCACUGGCUCGAUACUGACGCUGAGGUGCGAAAGCGUGGGGAGCAAACAGGAUUAGAUA
Molecule: ribosomal RNA, 279 nt
Filed under: uncultured bacterium
Lineage: Bacteria
Description: partial 16S ribosomal RNA
Rfam family: Bacterial small subunit ribosomal RNA
Source: RNAcentral